Molecule: long non-coding RNA, 581 nt
Organism: Pan paniscus (pygmy chimpanzee)
Lineage: Eukaryota; Metazoa; Chordata; Mammalia; Primates; Hominidae
Source: Ensembl
CUCAACUCUAAUGAAGACAGGCAUGGAUGAUUCUGGUUUGAAAAGGUCACAGUUGUACCAAAGUCUAUAUAAAUAACUUUGUCCUAUUAUGUCUCUACCACACAGCUGCUCUUGAGUUUUUCUGGGGGAAUAUACCAGGAGACCAUAAUCAAGGUACCAGUUUAUUGAUGGCUGUUCUUAAUAAAUACAACUCUUCAAGAAAAUAAGAUGGAAAAUCAAAAUUACUGUCAGAAAGUAUUUUCAUGAACAAAGAGCCAAAAUAAAGAUACUGGAUGAUUUUCUGAAAUACUCUUAUCAACAGUACGUGCCCACCUUAAAGAUAAGGAUAAACCUGCUGAGCAGACCAGGACAUCUCCAAGCAGCCCAUUCUGAUAAAUAAGGCCAGGAUUAUAUUGAACAAUAUUUGCUGUUUGUCUUGUCUCUUGUGUUCCAGGCUCAAGGCAGACUAUUUUUGAUAUAAAAUUGUCAUGUGUUCAGAUUCACAGGGCAUAGCUUGCUCAUCAGUGCAUCUGCAACAGCAUAAUUCCUAACACAUAAUAGGUCUUUAAUAAAUAUUUGUUGAACAAAUGAACAAAUAAACA